CCGUGCUGUACCAGUUGCCACUGCCCAAGCUCUCUCUCUGUGUUCGAAAAGCCACUGUGUGGGAAAGUUCAAACCAGUAGGCUAUUGAUUCUUCUGCUUCAUUUUUUGGAUAGUCUGACAUAAUAAAAGACAAGUGUCACUGUAGUAACCUGUUGCAGCCUCUGGUUCUCAUCAGCCACCUUGAGGCUGUAGUGCUGCUGUUUCACCCUCCCUGGAAAAGGAUGUUCUGACAUACCUGCCGCUGACCUGUAGCUAUGGUAGCCACGCUCUUGUUCCCCUCGACCACCUUGAGGCUGUAGUGUUGCUACUUCACCCUCACUGACUAAGGAGAAACACCCAACUCGUCUAGAGAGGUACACACAACUUACUUCAGCAGCCCUCAAAAGGAAGUCAUCCAAUGAAGGUUCUUUGGCUCUCACCCUCCAAACAAACUUUUUAUUGACAGCACUAAUUUAUGCUGUAUAUAGACAACCACACAAGGGUAAUUGCCACUUGUCCUGUUUUGUUAUUACAUCCGUUGCCCUCACAGAUUCCUGCAGCUAAGCUUGGAUGUACAUUUACAU
This is a long non-coding RNA of Alosa alosa (allis shad), 563 nucleotides long. RefSeq lists it as uncharacterized. Lineage: Eukaryota; Metazoa; Chordata; Actinopteri; Clupeiformes; Clupeidae. The transcript has 4 exons. The record is from RefSeq and is a predicted model, not a curated record.